GACGAACGCUGGCGGCGUGCUUAACACAUGCAAGUCGAACGGAAAGGCCCUGCUUUUGUGGGGUGCUCGAGUGGCGAACGGGUGAGUAACACGUGAGUAACCUGCCCUUGACUUUGGGAUAACUUCAGGAAACUGGGGCUAAUACCGGAUAGGAGCUCCUGCUGCAUGGUGGGGGUUGGAAAGUUUCGGCGGUUGGGGAUGGACUCGCGGCUUAUCAGCUUGUUGGUGGGGUAGUGGCUUACCAAGGCUUUGACGGGUAGCCGGCCUGAGAGGGUGACCGGCCACAUUGGGACUGAGAUACGGCCCAGACUCCUACGGGAGGCAGCAGUGGGGAAUAUUGCACAAUGGGCGGGAGCCUGAUGCAGCAACGCCGCGUGCGGGAUGACGGCCUUCGGGUUGUAAACCGCUUUCGCCUGUGACGAAGCGUGAGUGACGGUAAUGGGUAAAGAAGCACCGGCUAACUACGUGCCAGCAGCCGCGGUGAUACGUAGGGUGCGAGCGUUGUCCGGAUUUAUUGGGCGUAAAGGGCUCGUAGGUGGUUGAUCGCGUCGGAAGUGUAAUCUUGGGGCUUAACCCUGAGCGUGCUUUCGAUACGGGUUGACUUGAGGAAGGUAGGGGAGAAUGGAAUUCCUGGUGGAGCGGUGGAAUGCGCAGAUAUCAGGAGGAACACCAGUGGCGAAGGCGGUUCUCUGGGCCUUUCCUGACGCUGAGGAGCGAAAGCGUGGGGAGCGAACAGGCUUAGAUACCCUGGUAGUCCACGCUGUAAACGGUGGGUACUAGGUGUGGGGUCCAUUCCACGGGUUCCGUGCCGUAGCUAACGCUUUAAGUACCCCGCCUGGGGAGUACGGCCGCAAGGCUAAAACUCAAAGGAAUUGACGGGGCCCCGCACAAGCGGCGGAGCAUGCGGAUUAAUUCGAUGCAACGCGUAGAACCUUACCUGGGUUUGACAUGGAUCGGGAGUGCUCAGAGAUGGGUGUGCCUCUUUUGGGGUCGGUUCACAGGUGGUGCAUGGCUGUCGUCAGCUCGUGUCGUGAGAUGUUGGGUUAAGUCCCGCAACGAGCGCAACCCUUGUUCACUGUUGCCAGCACGUUAUGGUGGGGACUCAGUGGAGACCGCCGGGGUUAACUCGGAGGAAGGUGGGGAUGACGUCAAGUCAUCAUGCCCCUUAUGUCCAGGGCUUCACGCAUGCUACAAUGGCUGGUACAGAGAGUGGCGAGCCUGUGAGGGUGAGCGAAUCUCGGAAAGCCGGUCUCAGUUCGGAUUGGGGUCUGCAACUCGACCUCAUGAAGUCGGAGUCGCUAGUAAUCGCAGAUCAGCAACGCUGCGGUGAAUACGUUCCCGGGGCA
This 1346-nucleotide ribosomal RNA is filed under the name uncultured bacterium. RNAcentral's name for it is "partial 16S ribosomal RNA". It matches the Rfam family "Bacterial small subunit ribosomal RNA", at positions 28 to 1381 of the family's 1533-position model. The record is from RNAcentral.